UCCCCAUCUCCACCCUUCCCAUCCCCCUCCUGCCAACGGUCCCGAAUCUCCGGUCCUGUCCCUCCAGACCCCCCUCCCUGCUCUCCAAGGGCUCGUGUGACUACUCUAGUGCCUGGGACAUGGUAAGUGCUUUGAAAAUUCAGCGUUUUCCCAGAAUGGCGGGGGGUCAGGUGCCGGGCUGUGCCAUAACAACAUCUAAGUGCUGAUUUCAUGCUCACAGGCUAGGAGGUCCUGCCUGACCGUCCUCACCUCUCCCGACAUGGUUUCGCACGUGUCGAACGAGGAUACGAUUAAAGACGAAGGUUAACCACAGCACAUGCUAAACUCUCAGAAGCAUUAACUCAGGCCCGAUGGAGAAGAGCAAUCUUCUCAAGGAUGGUGUCUUCUUAUAAUGAUUUUUUAGUGUGUAUUUUUAUUUAUUUUUGAGAGAGAGAGAGAGAGAGAGAGAGAGAGAGAGGGCUCGUGUAAGCGGGGGAAGGGGCAAGGAGAGAGACAAUCCCAACCAGACUCUGUAAUCAUAACUGGACUCAGGGCUCGAUCCCAUGGCCGUGAGAUCAUGACCGGAGCAGAAAUCAAGAACUGGACGCUCGACCGACUGAGCCACCCAGGCGCCCCUAUAGGAUUUAUUUUAAAAAAUUUUAAAUAUAAUUUAAUGUCAAAUUGGUUUCCAUACAACACCCAGUGCAUUAUGGGAUUUAAUCAUCCCAGUUGCCUAACAAGGUAGGUACUAUUAAAAUCCCCAUUGUAGAGACAAAGAAACAGAGGCUCAACAGAGGCUCAGGGGAACAAGGGGCCCCAAAGCACAUGGGAAGCAGGGGGUAAGGACAGGACGUUGCCCACAUCUGUCCUGAUUUGGCUCCCGAGUGACAGGCAGGAAAUCAUCCCCGGCACCUCCCUCGUCACACAGGAGCCACACAAGUGACCGUGCACGCGUGAGCACCUCCUGUCAGCCCCCGUGUCACCGACAGCCCCGUGAGACGCCAGCCUAAAAGCAUUGGACCAACAGUGACUUCCAGUCCUCAGGGGAGUUAACCUCGAGCAAGCGGUCAGCACCUGGGGACCAAGAGUCGAGGUACAGAUGUUGCCGUUUCCAACAAUAAUAAUCCAGUGAAGUAUGAAGCCAGGGACUUACUUGCUGAGAAUCCUACUUCCUUCUGGGCUUAUUCUUCAUGAGACCUGCUGGCUCUGGGACAGAUCAUUCCGUGUAGCUUGAAAUCCACAUGGUUCCCUGUCCUUGCUUGUUCAGCCUGCUGUGCUGGUUAAACAUUAAUUCCUGCUGGUGAUAAAGGUCACAGAAGUCUUGAGAAACCUCCAGGGAGGGCUCCCUUCCCCUACAGCCCUGAACAGCUUGGAUCCCUCUCACCACCGACUUAGCCCAGUCGCCAGAUCCCUCCAUUAUCCCCAACAGCCCCGGUUUCAAGGUUUCGCCUCAUCAGGUCGUCCCGUAAGGUCCAGCCUUGCAGCACAGGAAGCCUUCUCGGAUGCCCCCACACGGAGCCUGCACGCCCUAGCUCUUCCUUCCCCAACCGCUGAAACGAUGGUGACGAUGCAGAGGAGAAUAAUGCCACGGCCGAGAUUGUGGCAGACGUGCAGAAAAACCCCAGGCGAGAGGAUUUUCUUGGGACAGAGAGCAGGGCUGAGAGGAGGCACGGAGAACAUGCAGAGAAGGUCCGCAAGGAGCAUGGGGGCUGACCUUGGUGGCCACCCCACAGGUGCUCUGGGCUCGGGGCUCCGGCGGGGCACGUCAGUUCUUCAUACAGAAGUCAUCUGACAAUGCUCCCCAAACUGGCGUACGUCCCUCGAGGAAACGAGAGCAAAAAUGAACACUUUCGUCCAUAAUCCUACUGCAGACAGAGCGCUGAUGUCAACAUGGGGAGUCGACAUUAGCCUUCGAGUUUUCGGUGUCUGCAAAUGUGUUAACCAGAGGGCGGCAGAACCGCGUAUGCUUUUUGCAACCUGCUUUCCGCCACUUGACAGGAUACCAUAACCACGUGAAACCAGUUCUCCCGACAUUAUUUUUGAAAUCAUCAUCUCCUCUCAUCUUGCGGUCUCUUGAGCUUGUUGUUGUUCUGAAUCGUCCAUUCAUUUACAUGGUGGUGCCUCACUAUGUAAACGUUCUUGCUUAAUAAAGAAUUGGGAUAAUUCGAA
Molecule: long non-coding RNA, 2148 nt
Organism: Acinonyx jubatus (cheetah)
Lineage: Eukaryota; Metazoa; Chordata; Mammalia; Carnivora; Felidae
Exons: 2
Source: RefSeq, a predicted model, not a curated record